UACGUAGGGCGCAAGCGUUAUCCGGAAUUACUGGGCGUAAAGGGCGCGUAGGCGGCCUUCUAAGUCAGACGUGAAAUCCCCAGGCUUAACUUGGGAACUGCGUCUGAUACUGGGAGGCUUGAGUGCGGGAGAGGGAUGUGGAAUUCCAGGUGUAGCGGUGAAAUGCGUAGAUAUCUGGAGGAACACCGGUGGCGAAGGCGGCAUCCUGGACCGACACUGACGCUGAGGCGCGAAAGCUAGGGGAGCAAACGGG
Molecule: ribosomal RNA, 253 nt
Filed under: uncultured bacterium
Lineage: Bacteria
Description: partial 16S ribosomal RNA
Rfam family: Bacterial small subunit ribosomal RNA
Source: RNAcentral